ACAUAUAUUUAUACCUAUUAUUGUAUUGGUCAUACUAUACAAUGAUUCAUAGCUUGUCUUUGUUGAAAACUACAGAACAUAAAGAGCAUUAAAAAAUAAUUGGAUUUAAAUCGCAAUAUUGGUAAAAAAAAUAAAUAAAUAAAGCGCAAUUAGAUUAUUUUCCAAAAUUCUUCAGGUCACGAUCACUUUAAAACAAUCAGUUAAAUAUAUUUUACCCGGAUCAGUCACAAAAACACUGUUUUGUAUGUUUUUUAAAGCCUUUUGUUUUUCAGGGACACAGGAAGUGACCUCAUAAACCAUGUUUACAUUGUAGUACCCAGAGCCAUAUAGAGUGAGAGUUGCGACAACUCCAUUGACUCCAAUGGAACGCUUUUUUUUACAGCAAUGGCGGCUCGUGGAGCCUCUCAAUAGUUCCCGGAAGUAGCGGCAAACCGAUGCCGCGCCGUAGAAGAUGCAGCAGAACAAACCGUUUGCGACGCACUUUUAACAGGUGGAGGAUUAGUGGUGCCACUGAAGUGUUCUGUGAUGGAGCAUCAGUGAGGAUGCAGGUCAGGAGAGCUGAGGGGACCUUUUUUUUUGAUAGCUGAAUUUUCAUUAUUUUUCUUAGUGCUGCCUUUGCAUUGCUUGAUCUUUAUUUUUUUUUCUUGUCUCUUAAAUUUUUUUAAUAGACCCUGGUAACUGGCUGAUGGUUCACAGGAAUGCUGACUGGCUGCUGACUGACUUGCUGCUGGUUGACUGGGCAGUGUCACCUGUC
RNAcentral lists this long non-coding RNA (754 nucleotides) under Carassius auratus (goldfish). Its description in RNAcentral is "lncRNA (ENSCARG00000032276.1)". Lineage: Eukaryota; Metazoa; Chordata; Actinopteri; Cypriniformes; Cyprinidae. The record is from RNAcentral.